UGGGGAAUAUUGCGCAAUGGGCGAAAGCCUGACGCAGCGACGCCGCGUGAGGGAAGAAGGCCUUCGGGUCGUAAACCUCUGUCUGGAGGAAAGAAACCCAUGGGUUCAAAUAGGGCUCAUGGCUGACGGUACCUCCGAAGGAAGCACCGGCUAACUCCGUGCCAGCAGCCGCGGUAAUACGGAGGGUGCAAGCGUUAAUCGGAAUCACUGGGCGUAAAGCGCACGUAGGCUGUCUUGCAAGUCAGACGUGAAAGCCCUCGGCUCAACCGGGGAACUGCGUUUGAAACUGCAUGACUUGAGUACAGGAGAGGAUGGCAGAAUUCCGGGUGUAGGGGUGAAAUCCGUAGAUAUCCGGAGGAAUACCAGUGGCGAAGGCGGCCAUCUGGACUGUCACUGACGCUGAGGUGCGAAAGCGUGGGGAGCAAACAG
RNAcentral lists this ribosomal RNA (429 nucleotides) under uncultured bacterium. Its description in RNAcentral is "bacterial SSU rRNA". It matches the Rfam family "Bacterial small subunit ribosomal RNA", at positions 355 to 775 of the family's 1533-position model. The record is from RNAcentral.